CGAUCCGUCGGUGUUAUUCUCAAAAAAACCUGAUGGGGAGCAUCCCGGAAACGAAAGUCUUCCGGUUCCGGGGGAAGUAUGGUUGCAAAGCUGAAACUUAAAGGAAUUGACGGAAGGGCACCACCAGGAGUGGAGCCUGCGGCUUAAUUUGACUCAACACGGGGAAACUCACCCGGCCCGGACACCGUGAGGAUUGACAGAUUGAUAGCUCUUUCAUGAUUCGGUGGAUGGUGGUGCAUGGCCGUUCUUAGUUCGUGGAGCGAUUUGUCUGGUUUAUUCCGAUAACGAGCGAGACUCUAGCCUACUAAAUAGUUUGUGCAUUGUCUCUGCGCAUAAAACUUCUUAGAGGGAUUCGCGAUGUUCAGUCGCAAGAAAUUGAGCAAUAACAGGUCUGUGAUGCCCUUAGAUGUCCGGGGCUGCACGCGCGCUACACUGGCGAACGCAACGUGCUUGUCCUUGGCCGAAAGGCCUUGGUAAACCAUUGAAAUUUUGCCGUGAUUGGGAUCGGAAAUUGCAAUUAUUUUCCGUGAACGAGGAAUUCCAAGUAAGUGCGAGUCAUCAACUCGCGUUGAUUACGUCCCUGCCCUUUGUACACACCGCCCGUCGCUGCCCGGGACUGAGACAUUUCGAGAAACUUGGGGGACCGUUGA
RNAcentral lists this ribosomal RNA (650 nucleotides) under Pratylenchus penetrans. Its description in RNAcentral is "SSU rRNA". It matches the Rfam family "Eukaryotic small subunit ribosomal RNA", at positions 1050 to 1722 of the family's 1831-position model. Lineage: Eukaryota; Metazoa; Nematoda; Chromadorea; Rhabditida; Pratylenchidae. The record is from RNAcentral.